UCUGUUAACCGUUAAACUCUCGAAGGACAUAUAUUCUGUCUUAAUCUAAAAAGAAUCUUAAGGUAUUGAUUUUUGCAUUAUCAGAUUCUCUAGUCGAAUAAGAAUCACCUAUUUCCUUUUUGAGGUUCCUCUUCUUCUUUUUUUUUUUGGGUAGAGACAGAAUAAUGAGUGGCACAAAGCCUUUUCUUCGUUUGUUCCCAUUAGACUUGUUUCUAUAACCUUAUGUUUGCUGGACUCUGCCUUGGCCAUCUCUCACUGAACUUCAACGUCUUUGUUUGGGAUCAUACCUCUAGAUAGAUGGUCUCACUAAUUUUUUCCCCCUUGUAUAACCUGAAUAAACCCGGUAAAACCUAUUUUCAACAAUUUUUUAUCUGCGCUUUGGAGUGUUAUGAAAUGGCCAUGAGUCAAACGGUCAUGCAGGUUUCACAGUGGCCGAGUUUGUUUAGUUAGAAGUCACUAUGGUAGAGACGUGAAGAAAAGAAAGUUGAAGUCGUUUGAGUAUGUUGUUAACUCUGUUUGGUAUGUGUGAAAUAGUGGAGCAGAGCAUAUUCCAUGCUUUCACAAAUAGAUACUUUAAAUAGCUAUAGAUGAAGAAGAAAGCAGAGCAGGAAAUGGUUAAAAUUAACCGAAAUGGUUAAAAUUAACCGAAAUGGUAAAUCAUGUUGAUGCUCAUUUGCCACAAUAAUGUAUCCACCCGUUUCUAGGAAAAGGCUAUUUUCCCAUAUCCUCUCGUUGGGAAAAAUCCAAAUCAUAUGUACAAUAUGUUGAUGUCCA
Molecule: long non-coding RNA, 774 nt
Organism: Brassica napus (rape)
Lineage: Eukaryota; Viridiplantae; Streptophyta; Magnoliopsida; Brassicales; Brassicaceae
Exons: 2
Source: RefSeq, a predicted model, not a curated record